RNAcentral lists this transfer-messenger RNA (363 nucleotides) under Candidatus Nealsoniibacteriota bacterium. Its description in RNAcentral is "Candidatus Nealsonbacteria bacterium transfer-messenger RNA". It matches the Rfam family "transfer-messenger RNA". Rfam says of the family: Bacterial tmRNA, also known as 10Sa RNA or SsrA, is named for its dual tRNA and mRNA-like properties. Its role is to liberate the mRNA from a stalled ribosome. RNAcentral also lists the same sequence under 1 other name. The record is from RNAcentral. Lineage: Bacteria; Candidatus Nealsoniibacteriota.
GGGGAUGCUACGGAUUCGACAGAGAUGUAGCGUAACCGAGGCAAGCCGAGGAUUCUCGACAGCUCGUUAAACUUCGAGAAAACCAAUAAGUGCAAACUUAUUCAAUAGAAAACCUGCGCUAGCAUACGCAUAGCGUCAUCUGCCCCUCUGAUUCUCGAUAAGAACGGGUGGGUGUCAUAAAAAUCGAGAUAGGUAUUUUUUCUUUCGAUCUUAAGAGAAAAUUCCAAAAACUACUAAGAUCGGGUGUAAAAAGGUUUUGACUUGAUUUUUCACUUUCUAUACCUAAAACAAAUCAGUCUAAGCUUGUAGAAUCGUUUAUGAAACAUUCUUUGGACGCGGGUUCGACCCCCGCCAUCUCCACAU